RNAcentral lists this ribosomal RNA (623 nucleotides) under uncultured bacterium. RNAcentral's name for it is "bacterial SSU rRNA". It matches the Rfam family "Bacterial small subunit ribosomal RNA", at positions 55 to 667 of the family's 1533-position model. The record is from RNAcentral.
AUGCAAGUCGAACGGUAACAGGAAACAGCUUGCUGUUUCGCUGACGAGUGGCGGACGGGUGAGUAAUGUCUGGGAAACUGCCUGAUGGAGGGGGAUAACUACUGGAAACGGUAGCUAAUACCGCAUAACGUCGCAAGACCAAAGAGGGGGACCUUCGGGCCUCUUGCCAUCGGAUGUGCCCAGAUGGGAUUAGCUAGUAGGUGGGGUAACGGCUCACCUAGGCGACGAUCCCUAGCUGGUCUGAGAGGAUGACCAGCCACACUGGAACUGAGACACGGUCCAGACUCCUACGGGAGGCAGCAGUGGGGAAUAUUGCACAAUGGGCGCAAGCCUGAUGGAGCCAUGCCGCGUGUAUGAAGAAGGCCUUCGGGUUGUAAAGUACUUUCAGCGGGGAGGAAGGGAGUAAAGUUAAUACCUUUGCUCAUUGACGUUACCCGCAGAAGAAGCACCGGCUAACUCCGUGCCAGCAGCCGCGGUAAUACGGAGGGUGCAAGCGUUAAUCGGAAUUACUGGGCGUAAAGCGCACGCAGGCGGUUUGUUAAGUCAGAUGUGAAAUCCCCGGGCUCAACCUGGGAACUGCAUCUGAUACUGGCAAGCUUGAGUCUCGUAGAGGGGGGUAGAAU